Molecule: ribosomal RNA, 718 nt
Filed under: uncultured bacterium
Lineage: Bacteria
Description: partial 16S ribosomal RNA
Rfam family: Bacterial small subunit ribosomal RNA
Source: RNAcentral
UAGGCCGGUACUCGCGAAUGCCCUAGGCUUAAGUUUGAUCAUGGCUCAGAUCCCAACGCUGUUAAGCAUGCUUUACACAUGCAAGUCGAACGGUAACAGGUCUUCGGAUAGCUGACGAGUGGCGAACGGGUAGAGUAAUACAUACGGAACGUGCCUAGUAGUAGGGGGAUAACUACUCGAAAGAGUAGCUAAUACCGCAUAGAGAUCUACGGAUGAAAGCAGGGGACCUUCGGGCCUUGUGCUACUAGAGCGGCUGAUGGCAGAUUAGGUAGUUGGUAGGGGUAAAGGCUUACCAAGCCUGCGAUCUGUAAGCUGGUCUGAGAGGACGACCAGCCACACUGGGACUGAGACACGGCCCAGACUACCUACGGGAGGCAGCAGUAGGGGAACAAUAGGACAACUGGGCGAAAGCCUGAUCCAGCAAUGCCGCGUGCAGGAAGAAGGCCCAUCGCGGUUGUAAACUGCUAANAGCAACGGAACGAAAAAGCCUNGGAGGCUAANAUACCCCGGGGACAUGACGGUACACAGGUNCACAGGAAAACUUAACAAGCAACCCACGGGCAUAACCNUAACCAGANNGCCCCAAGGCCACAAGACNCCGGACGCNGUCAAAAAAACCNUUAAGCGGGGGUCGCACAAAGCCGGUUUCAAUNCCCGGCGANAAAUNUACACACGGGAGGCACGACAAAAGCCGNGUGCAGGCCACNGGCCAGGCACA